CCACUGAUGGCUAUAUUAAUAUUACCAAAUGUUUACAUGUUUCACUUUAAUUAGGAUAAAUAAAUAUCUGCUCACAGAUCAAUGAAAUUUGACAUUCUGAUUGUAAUUUAUGUCUUCAGUACUCACUGACAGAUCACAUAACAUCUGAUUAUUUGAAAAUAAACCCAUAACAUUAUGAUUUCCAGUGGAUUUCACUUAAUGCAGGUGGACCAUUAGCACCCCGAGCAGGUAAGCUUCAUUUAUUUUAAUGAUUGUUUAUUGUUAAGUUAGUCCUGACUGGACCAACCCUGAAUUCCAGGGCGAUUUGGUUCUUGGACUUUUAGCAGAACUCUGGUUUAUUUCUGUCUCUUUUUUGUGUAUUUUCAGUUUCUGUGUUUGGAAUCUGACAUAAAGUGAAGAAUGACAAAUAAAACUUCAGACAUUAAAGAUUCAAACCAAGCAAGGACUGAGGAUGACCUUGGACCAUUUACGAGGCCAACAGUAAAUAAAUGAAGGUAUUUCAGGACCAUGUCCAUAAAGAGGGACAUCCAAACCCCCGACCAAGCCCAUAACAGCCAGGACAGAUUUGACUUUUCAGUCAGCCGGGCUCCGUCCUCAUCAUCAUGGCCAAGAUCAUGGAUCUGAAGCUGAAGGUCGUUGACCUGGCUGGAGUGAAGAAACCCACCCUGAAGAAGGUCCGCAUGUUGGCCGACGCCAUGCUGAAGGCUCUGCUGGGCUCCAAGGACACGGUCAAACUGGGCCUGAGGGCCAACCUGAAGCAGGUCAAGAAAGAGGUGAAA
Long non-coding RNA from Thalassophryne amazonica, 779 nucleotides. RefSeq lists it as uncharacterized. The record is from RefSeq and is a predicted model, not a curated record. The transcript is spliced from 3 exons. Lineage: Eukaryota; Metazoa; Chordata; Actinopteri; Batrachoidiformes; Batrachoididae.